Molecule: non-coding RNA, 1104 nt
Organism: Pseudonaja textilis
Lineage: Eukaryota; Metazoa; Chordata; Lepidosauria; Squamata; Elapidae
Source: RefSeq, a predicted model, not a curated record
GAAAAAAUGUUUUUAAAAGAGCGCUGUCCAGCACGCAAAUUCUAAGCAAGCCUCGCCUCCACAAUGGGGUCCAGAAGGAAAGGGAUCUUCCUUGUCCAAAAAGCCCUGCGAGAGAGAGAGAGAGAGAGAAAAGGGGGAGAGCGCAGUGUAAGAUCCCGCUGGACUUUUCUCCACCGGUCGCCCCGGCGAGAAGAAAAAGGAAAGGAGGGAAAGGGGUGGGGUGAGGGAUGUGUCAGUGGCCGGGCAAAAGCCGCCGCCGCCGCCGCCUGCUCCCGCUGCCGCCCGUCCCUUGUUAGGCUAAUUGCAUUGGCUCGUCAUCUUCCUCUUCCUCCUCCUUUGCAAAGCCUUAGCGCUUAGGAGAGGGCGGAGGAGAGCAGAGGCGCUUGCCGCUGCCUCCUUCGGGCGCGCACGCAUGCACCCGUGUCUGAAGCAUUGAGGAAAGAGGGGAGGAGGACACCCAUAUAUACAAGUUGUCCAAGGACAGGGAAAUAAAUCAAGAUUCCCGCCCCCUCCCCGUGACCGGCAUUUCCUUCUCAGGCGACGGGGGAGCGCAAGGUCCGGGCCAGGUUGGCGAGGGGACCGGAUGCUCCUUUGGAGAAGCUCAGGAAUUUGAAAACUUUUCUGCCCGAUCCUGCCAGGCAUGUGACACGGAAGUCUUGCCUGCUGCAUACGCUUUUGGCACACAGUUUGAACCGGCCCAGGCCGAUUGCAACCUGAAGCGGGGAGAGGGGAGGCGGGGAGAAGCCAUCGAUCAGGGGAAGCUUUGCUCGACUCUUAAGUCCAAUAAGAGGUCCAAAUUGCCCUUCUCAGGUCUUUUGCUGAAGAAUUGCAGCUUCCAGUUCAGCAGAUAAAUGACCAAAGAAAAUGAAGAAGAUAAAUUUCUUCUUUUGCAAGAAGUGGACAGAAAUGACUAAAUAAACCUCUUAGAGGAGAGGAGAAGCUGGGGAGCAAGUGAUAUUGAAACCUUUGCCCUCGAUAACUAAGAUUCCAGAAAAGUCAACUGUGGGGCUUGAGCCAAUGGAUGUCUUCAGGAUAAUUUUUGAAUGAAAACAGCACAGGAGGAACGAGUUCCAUUCUUUUCCAUUCCCAUUUCCUAAGCAAAUU